RNAcentral lists this ribosomal RNA (253 nucleotides) under uncultured bacterium. RNAcentral describes it as "partial 16S ribosomal RNA". It matches the Rfam family "Bacterial small subunit ribosomal RNA", at positions 524 to 776 of the family's 1533-position model. The record is from RNAcentral.
GACGGAGGGUGCUAGCGUUGUUCGGAAUUACUGGGCGUAAAGGGCGCGUAGGCGGCCCUGUCAGUCGGGUGUGAAAGCCCGGGGCUCAACCCCGGAACGGCACCCGAGACGGCGGGGCUGGAGACCGGGAGAGGAGGGUGGAAUAGCCAGUGUAGAGGUGAAAUUCGUAGAUAUUGGCUGGAACACCGGUGGCGAAGGCGGAUCUCUGGGCCUUACCUGACGCUCAGGCGCGAAAGCUAGGGGAGCGAACAGG